CAGUCGAGAAUUUUUCUCAAUGGGGGAAACCCUGAAGGAGCGACGCCGCGUGGAGGAUGAAGGUCUUCGGAUUGUAAACUCCUGUCAUUUGGGAACAAUGUGCAGUCGUUAACUGCGAUUGCAUUGAUAGUACCAGAAGAGGAAGAGACGGCUAACUCUGUGCCAGCAGCCGCGGUAAUACAGAGGUCUCAAGCGUUGUUCGGAUUCAUUGGGCGUAAAGGGUGCGUAGGUGGCGCCAUAAGUCAGGUGUGAAAUCUCGGGGCUCAACCCCGAAACUGCACUUGAUACUGUGGUGCUCGAGUACUGGAGAGGAGAUUGGAAUUUACGGUGUAGCAGUGAAAUGCGUAGAUAUCGUAAGGAAGACCAGUGGCGAAGGCGAAUCUCUGGACAGUUACUGACACUGAGGCACGAAGGCCAGGGGAGCAAACGGGAUUAGA
RNAcentral lists this ribosomal RNA (437 nucleotides) under uncultured bacterium. Its description in RNAcentral is "bacterial SSU rRNA". It matches the Rfam family "Bacterial small subunit ribosomal RNA", at positions 352 to 782 of the family's 1533-position model. The record is from RNAcentral.